AUACUGUGCUAAGAACUGGAGAUACAAAUACCAGGAGGCGAUUUCUGAAUGCUAGCUCUUUGAAGAAUGGAAUCCUAUAAAAGGAGCCUUUGUUAUAACAUGCUGUGACUCAAGAGGACCAGCUCCUGCAUGUAUUCCUUACUUCAGACUGCAAGAUAACAAAGAGAAUCUCAUUAUCCAGCUACCUCCCACCUUGGGCACUGGUGCCUUGCCCCUGGCUGCCCUCCUCUCCCUGAAUAGAGAGAGAAGCCAGGAUGACAGUUUUCUUCAACCAUUUCCUGAGAGUUUCUACAUUGAACUCUCUCUUGUUCCAAAGGAGAGCAGGGAGGCAAAACAGCUGCAUCUCUGUGUAUACAAUCUGCUCCUUGAUUGCCCCACUUUUCUGUGGAGAAGAGGGAAGUGUGUUUCAUCACCUAUUUUUAUAUACCAUACAUUAGAAUAAAUAAGCAAACAAAAAAAUACAAUCAUUUUGUAUGCCCUUCCCAAUCUGCCUGUGUGCUGCUUUAAAAAAAAACAAAACAACCCCAAACCCUUACCUUCCAUCUUAGAAUCAAUAUUGUGUAUUGAUUCCAAGGCAGAAGAGUGGUAAGGGCUAGGCAAUGGGGGUCAAGUGACUUGCCCAGGGUCACACCCCUUGGAAUUGUCUGAGUCCAGAUUUCAACCUAGGACCUCCCAUCUCUAGGCCUGGCUCUCAAUCCACUGACCCACCCAGCUGCUCCCUUCCUAUGUACUUGAAAAGCUCCAUAUUUAAGGCUGGCCUUCCCUCCCCCCCCCCCCAAUCAAAUCCACAGAAUAUAGUUAGCAUCCAUGUGUAUCUCAUUCUCUCUCCAUUGAUCUUACUUCGUGCCACUUCAUAAAGGUCUUUUGAUAUAUCUUUGCAUUCUUCAUAUAUGUCAUUUUUUAUAGGGUUUCAUGAGCCUGUGAAGAGCUUAAGAUUUUUGUCAACCGUGGGGAUUUUAUUGUGGAAAUUCCCUUCACCAAGGCAUAUCCUAGUUUGGCUAUUGGCCCAGUAGAUAAAUUCUGGGGAAUUGACGAGACACCAUCACACGUGAAAAUUCAUUCAACCAUUUUCCAAACACUGAACACAAAUUAUCUCUAUUUUUUUCUAUAAGAGAUACAGAUAAAUGAGGACUUUACAAAAACAAAGCAACUAAUUUAGUUCUCCCCCAUGAAACAGUGCAUGCAGUAUAUGCUUAAAACCCAGCAGCAGCUCUCUGACAAAGCUGGAUCAAGCCCUGUGGUAGCAAACCCUAUUGGAGUCUGAGAGCUCUGACUUAGUAAUAAAUAUGCAGACAGAACCA
RNAcentral lists this long non-coding RNA (1301 nucleotides) under Monodelphis domestica (gray short-tailed opossum). RNAcentral describes it as "lncRNA (ENSMODG00000039556.1)". The record is from RNAcentral. Lineage: Eukaryota; Metazoa; Chordata; Mammalia; Didelphimorphia; Didelphidae.